AGAGUUUGAUCCUGGCUCAGAUUGAACGCUGGCGGCAUGCCUUACACAUGCAAGUCGAACGGUAACAGGUCUUCGGAUGCUGACGAGUGGCGAACGGGUGAGUAAUACAUCGGAACGUGCCCGAUCGUGGGGGAUAACGGAGCGAAAGCUUUGCUAAUACCGCAUACGAUCUACGGAUGAAAGCAGGGGACCGCAAGGCCUUGCGCGGACGGAGCGGCCGAUGGCAGAUUAGGUAGUUGGUGGGAUAAAAGCUUACCAAGCCGACGAUCUGUAGCUGGUCUGAGAGGACGACCAGCCACACUGGGACUGAGACACGGCCCAGACUCCUACGGGAGGCAGCAGUGGGGAAUUUUGGACAAUGGGCGCAAGCCUGAUCCAGCCAUGCCGCGUGCAGGAUGAAGGCCUUCGGGUUGUAAACUGCUUUUGUACGGAACGAAAAGACUCUGGUUAAUACC
This 455-nucleotide ribosomal RNA is filed under the name uncultured bacterium. Its description in RNAcentral is "bacterial SSU rRNA". It matches the Rfam family "Bacterial small subunit ribosomal RNA", at positions 8 to 479 of the family's 1533-position model. The record is from RNAcentral.